CCUACGGGCGGCUGCAGUGGGGAAUUUUGGACAAUGGGCGCAAGCCUGAUCCAGCCAUGCCGCGUGCGGGAAGAAGGCCUUCGGGUUGUAAACCGCUUUUGUCAGGGAAGAAAUCCCUUGGGCUAAUACCCCGGGGGGAUGACGGUACCUGAAGAAUAAGCACCGGCUAACUACGUGCCAGCAGCCGCGGUAAUACGUAGGGUGCAAGCGUUAAUCGGAAUUACUGGGCGUAAAGCGUGCGCAGGCGGUCGUGCAAGACAGAUGUGAAAUCCCCGGGCUUAACCUGGGAACUGCAUUUGUGACUGCACGGCUGGAGUGCGGCAGAGGGGGAUGGAAUUCCGCGUGUAGCAGUGAAAUGCGUAGAUAUGCGGAGGAACACCGAUGGCGAAGGCAAUCCCCUGGGCCUGCACUGACGCUCAUGCACGAAAGCGUGGGGAGCAAACAGGAUUAGAUACCCUUGUAGUCA
This 466-nucleotide ribosomal RNA is filed under the name uncultured Comamonadaceae bacterium. RNAcentral's name for it is "bacterial SSU rRNA". It matches the Rfam family "Bacterial small subunit ribosomal RNA", at positions 338 to 796 of the family's 1533-position model. Lineage: Bacteria; Pseudomonadati; Pseudomonadota; Betaproteobacteria; Burkholderiales; Comamonadaceae. The record is from RNAcentral.